GAUGAAGAACGUAGCGAAAUGCGAUAACUAAUGUGAAUUGCAGAAUUCAGUGAAUCAUCGAGUCUUUGAACGCACAUUGCGCCCCCUGGUAUUCCGGGGGGCAUGCCUGUCCGAGCGUCAUUGCUGCCCUCAAGCACGGCUUGUGUGUUGGGCUCCGUCCCCCCGGGGACGGGCCCGAAAGGCAGCGGCGGCACCGAGUCCGGUCCUCGAGCGUAUGGGGCUUUGCCACCCGCUCUGUAGGCCCGGCCGGCGCCAGCCGACAACCCAUCAUCCUUUUCAGGUUGACCUCGGAUCAGGUAGGGAUACCCGCUGAACUUAAGCAUAUCAAUAAGCGGAGGA
Molecule: unclassified non-coding RNA, 339 nt
Filed under: soil metagenome
Description: partial contains 5.8S ribosomal RNA, internal transcribed spacer 2, and large subunit ribosomal RNA
Rfam family: 5.8S ribosomal RNA (bases 1-120)
Source: RNAcentral